GAUGAACGCUGGCGGCGUGCCUAAUACAUGCAAGUCGAGCGAACAGAUGAGGAGCUUGCUCCUCUGACGUUAGCGGCGGACGGGUGAGUAACACGUGGAUAACCUACCUAUAAGACUGGGAUAACUUCGGGAAACCGGAGCUAAUACCGGAUAAUAUAUUGAACCGCAUGGUUCAAUAGUGAAAGACGGUUUUGCUGUCACUUAUACAUGGAUCCGCGCCGCAUUAGCUAGUUGGUAAGGUAACGGCUUACCAAGGCAACGAUGCGUAGCCGACCUGAGAGGGUGAUCAGCCACACUGGAACUGAGACACGGUCCAGACUCCUACGGGAGGCAGCAGUAGGGAAUCUUCCGCAAUGGGCGAAAGCCUGACGGAGCAACGCCGCGUGAGUGAUGAAGGUCUUCGGAUCGUAAAACUCUGUUAUUAGGGAAGAACAAAUGUGUAAGUAACUAUGCACGUCUUGACGGUACCUAAUCAGAAAGCCACGGCUAACUACGUG
RNAcentral lists this ribosomal RNA (497 nucleotides) under uncultured bacterium. Its description in RNAcentral is "partial 16S ribosomal RNA". It matches the Rfam family "Bacterial small subunit ribosomal RNA", at positions 28 to 507 of the family's 1533-position model. The record is from RNAcentral.